RNAcentral lists this long non-coding RNA (3867 nucleotides) under Homo sapiens (human). RNAcentral's name for it is "HSALNT0333667". Lineage: Eukaryota; Metazoa; Chordata; Mammalia; Primates; Hominidae. The record is from RNAcentral.
AGAGCCAGCCCAACCUCGACGGAGGGUGGGAGGACUAGAGAUUGCGUUCAAUUCGGUGGCAAAUGAGUCAACCAAUUGUGCCUAUGUAAUGAAAACUCUGGACGCCAAAAUUUGGUGGAGCUUCCUGGUUGGUGAACACAUCCAUGUGCCAGGAGGGUGACACAACCUGAUUCACAGAGAGAAGACACAGAAGCUCUGCAUGGAAGACCCGCCCAGACCCCGCCCUACGUGUGUCUUCAUUAGUCUGGUCCUCCUGAUUUGUAUCCUUUGUAACAAGCCUGUAAUCGUAAGUAUAACAUUCUCCUGAGUUUGGUGAGUUGUUCUAGCAAAUUAUCAAACCCGAGGGGGUUGUGGGUACCCCCCAGAUUAGUAGCCAGUUGGUCAGAGGAGCGAGUAGCCUGGGGACCUCCACACUUGUGGCUGGCGGCGGAAGUGAGGGCAAUCUCAUUGGGGCUGAAACCUGUAGUUAGUGUUGUGCUGCACUAUUCCAGUCCCUUAUCCACCUACAUUCCUCAUUUCCUUGUCGGGGCCUUGCUGUGAUGUCUCCAUUUGGGUGAUUUCAUAAAGGUUAGAGAUGAGGGAGGGCAGAUUUACCUGGAGAACAAAUUCCUAGGCCUUUUGAUACUUUUUUUUUUUUUGAGACAAGGUCUCGCUCUGUUACCCAGGCUGAAGUGCAGUGGUGCAAUCCAGGCUCACUGCAACCUUGCCUCCCAACCCCCACCCCCACACUCUGGGCUCAAGCGAUCCUUCCACAUUAGCCUCCAGGGUAAUUGGGACCACACGUGCGCACCAGCACGCCCAGUUUUGUUUUUGGUUUUUUUUUUUUUUUUUUUUGUAUUUUCAGUAGUGAAAGGGUUGCCCAGGCUGGUCUCAAACUCCUGAGCUCAAGCAAUCUGCCCCCCUCAGCCUCCCCAAAGUGCUAGUAUUACAGGCAUGAGCCAUCGCGCCCAGCCAAUAUACAUUCUUAACAAUUUUUUACUUACCAAUUCUCUGUUCUGGCUUUGUAUCUCUGAUUUUACUAGAUUAUCCCUGUUUUGGCAAACACUAACAAUAUUUAUAUAAGUUUAGCCUAUAUGCCUUAAAGACGUUUUCUCCUACUUCCAGAACUUUCUCAGUUGUGUGUGUGAGUACGCCUGGCUUUUCAUCAAAGAGCUUUGCCGUCUUGAUGCUUCCUUUUCUGUGAACACAGCAAUAAAUAGAUUCUGCAGAACAAAUGAAGAUGGAGCCCAUCCAGAACCCAGCUGUGCUGCUGCAAGCCAGGAGAAAGGACUUUGUGCUCCUUCACCUCAGAAACCUGAACUCAGAAUUUCCUUGUAGACACUUUUCAGGCCUUUGUUUGCUGGAGACUGGAGUUCCCUGAGAGGAUUAAGGGUGUGGUGGGGAGUGUCUAAAGGAGCCCAGUGCCUUGAGGGCAGCCAAGAAGACAGAGGCCCUGGACUGGAUACCGGCUGAGGUAGGUGGAUCCCUGUGGGGUGGAGACCAUCCCCAGCUCCACAGCCCCAGGCAUGUCAAGGGCUAUCAUCAAGGCCUCAGAGGAGACCAGCUGCCUGGGGCACCUCAGGAAGCUAUACCCUGACACCUGGACUCCAGAGUCCACAAAUAUAUCUGUACCCAAACCAGUGGGCAAGCAAAGAAGCCCUUGCCUUUGGGAGACCUCAGGAUGUUGGCCAUGAGAACAUCAUGGAUGGGCGCGGUGGCUCGCUCCUGUAAUCCCAGCACUUUGGGAGGCCAAGGCGGGUGGAUCACCUGAGGUUAGGAGUUCGAGACCAGCCUGGCCAACAUGGUAAAACCCUGUCUCUACUAAAAAUACAGAAAUUAGCCAGGCACAGUGGCAGGUGCCUGUAAUCCCAGCUACUCGGGCGGCUGAGGCAGGAGAAUCGCUUGAACCUGGGAGGCAGAGGUUGCAGUGAGCCAAGAUCAUAUCACUGUGCUCCAGCUUGGGCAACAAGACAGAAACUCCAUCUCAAAAAAAAAAAAAAGAAAAGAAAUCAUGGACUCCAAAAGGCCUGAAGUGGAGAGUCCUGAAGCCAUCUCAGACCAUGAGGCCACCCUAAGGGUAGAAGGAAGCACACUAAGAUGACAGGAACAGAAGACAGGAGCCUGGGUCCAUCAUGCCAGGGAGCCUCCACACCUGCCCUGGACGUUUCAUCUCAGACCUCGUGGAUAAAGCAGAGAAAUAAAUAUCUACCUUGUUUAAGCCACUUAUUUUCAAUUUUUUGUUUCAAGCAGGCUUUUCAUGAAGUUCCCAGUCUGACAGCAUUAAUUGGUGGGCUAGAAUUUGUGGACGGUUUCCAUGUAUGUAUUCUGCAAAACCAUCCAUAAGAAAGAGUUGAACAAGUCUUGGGACUAGCUAGAGAAGUGGGCAAAAAAAGAGAGGAAGUGGCCGAGUGCGGUGGCUCACGCCUGUAAUCCCAGCACUUUGGGAUGCUCAGGCAGGCAGAUCACGAGAUCAAGAGAUUGAGACCAUCCUGGCCAACAUGGUGAAACCCCGUCUCUACUGAAAAUACAAAAAUUAGCUGGGCGUGAUGCCAUGCGCCUGUAGUCCGAGCUACUCGGGAGGCGGAGGCAGGAGAAUCACUUGAACCCUGGAGGCAGAGGUUGCAGUGUGUCAAGAUCAUGCCACCGCUCUCCAGCCUAGUAACAGAGUGAGAAUUCCGUCUCAAAAAAAAAAAAAAAAAAAAAGAGAGAGAGGAAGUAGCCUCUCCACUGCCCCUGCCAUGCCUAGAAGGUUCCCCAGCAUAAGAAGAGAUCAUUUGCAUCUCAAACAGCACAAUAGGCAGCCUGCUGGGUGGCCGGGGAAACUGUCCAAGACAGGACCGUACCAGAGGCCUUUUCUUGUCCUUUGAAUAUUUCAACUUCUGUGCAGGAAGGCUUGGGCUUUCCCAGGACAAAAUAAUUUUUAACAUUUUAUUUGUCUUAUUAAAUAUUAAAUAAAUAUAUUUGUAAAAGAUACAGACAUGAAUAACAAUGAUACAAAGAAUGACAAAGUGACCUUUUAAAUUUGAGACCAAUUCCAUCUAAAACAAUCCAAGCCACCUGUAGCUGUUGGUUUGAUUGCAAUAACCAAUACUGGACCAUGGUUACUUAACCUAUCAACCCAAGAAGAAAUCUUUCAUAACUGUGAUGAUCACGAAGGAAAUAUAAACAUGGCUAACCUGUGUCAUGAAAAAUGGAAGCUAAUUAAGGUAUCUGAAAUGAGUGAGGAGACUGAGGAUGUUCUGAAGGAAAUGCAGGAAGGAGAAUUAGCCUAAGUGCAUCCAUGUUGAACUUAUACAUAAAUCUUUCCUUGGUUGGCAAGAGUCCAGAAUAUGAUAUCACAGUGUGUGAAGGAGGCUGAGAGGAAACAGACUGUCCCAUGCAUUGCUGGCAGCAGUGCAGAUGGCACAGUUCUGUGGAGCAGACCUGCAAUAUCUACCAGAACUAUACAUGCACAAACCCUUUGACCCAGAGAUCCCCCUUCUGGGAAUCUAUCUUAUAGAUUCACCUACACAAAGGUAAACUUGCUUAGGUAUAAGGUUAUUCAUUGUGGCAUUAUUUAUAAUAACAACGGAUCAGAAACAGCCCAACAACCCAGCAAUAGGAGACUGGCGAACACACAGCUCUGGUCGAUCCACCAAUGGAAUACUAUAGAGCUGUCAAAAUGAAAAAGGCAGGAGGAACAGCUUUACGUGGUGAUAGGGAAGGAUACCCAGUAUAUUUAGUUACGAUUUUAAAAGGAAGGAGCAAGAUGUAUAUAACAUGCUUUUUUUGUGUAAUAAAAGAGGAAAUAAAAGUAUGUUAUUUAUGUUUGCAUAAAGAAACGUUGGGAGAAUAAAUAAGGCACUAUUCUGGUAAAAAUGGUUACUGACGAGCAAUGUGAGGGGAAAA